GCCCACCGGCUCCCGAUCCCCCCCCCAUCCCGGCCGCGCGCCCUCUCGCCAGCCCUGAGGCCAGGCGGGGGCUGCGCUGGGGGUCCCCGGCCCGAGCCCGCGCCGCACCGCGCUCACCCCCCAGAGGAUGCUGGCUGCAACUUGGAUCUGGGGAGGGAAGGUCCUAGAAGCCAAGCGCCUCCCGGCUAUUUGCUCUUCUUUAUUUGUUUUCUCCUCCCGGAAAGGAGGAGGAAAGCGCAGAGAAAAGGAAAGGGAAGGACGGAAGCGGCGCGGGCCGCUGCUCCGGUGCCCUCCGGCUGCGCAGGAGCGAGGCGGGAGGCGAGAUACUUCUCACUACAAAUCGGCUCUCUCCAGGGAUUAGCGGCUACGCGAAAGUGCAUACUGGCGCUGCGGGCAAUCGAGGGGGCCGGGCAAGCCUGCAUUUUAAAGUAUGGAGCCCAGGCUGGUGGAAGUAGUGCAGAGAGCAGAACACUGGCUUAUAUGAGGUCCGAGGUUCAUCCCUUGCUCCUGGGGACAGAGGAAUCUCAACCCAGGUGAUGUUACACAGGUCUUCUGACACCCCCAUACCGGCAUACAUGCAGGCAAAACACCAAUGAACAUAAAAUAAGCCUUUAAUCCCAGCACUCAAG
RNAcentral lists this long non-coding RNA (629 nucleotides) under Cricetulus griseus (Chinese hamster). Its description in RNAcentral is "lncRNA (ENSCGRG00015034137.1)". The record is from RNAcentral. Lineage: Eukaryota; Metazoa; Chordata; Mammalia; Rodentia; Cricetidae.